RNAcentral lists this ribosomal RNA (492 nucleotides) under uncultured bacterium. RNAcentral's name for it is "partial 16S ribosomal RNA". It matches the Rfam family "Bacterial small subunit ribosomal RNA", at positions 29 to 507 of the family's 1533-position model. The record is from RNAcentral.
AGUGAACGCUGGCGGUAGGCCUAACACAUGCAAGUCGAACGGUAGCACAGUAAGAGCUUGCUCUUACGGGUGGCGAGUUGCGUACGGGUGAGGUAUACAUCGGACUCUACUUUUUCGUGGCUGAUAACGUAGUGAAACUUCCGCUAAUACCGCAUACGACCUACGGGUGAAAUCAGGGGAUCUUCGGACCUUGCGCGAUUUAAUGAGCCGAUGUCGGAUUAGCUAGUUGGCGGGGUAAAGGCCCACCAAGGCGACGCUCCGUAGCUGGUCUGAGAGGAGGAAGAGCCACACUGGAACUGAGACACGGCACAGACUCCUACGGGAGGCAGAAGUGGGGAAUAGUGGACAAAGGGCGCAAGACUGAUCCAGCCAUACCGCGUGGGUGAAGAAGGCCUGCGGGUUGUAAAGCCCUUUUGUGGGGAAAGAAAAGCAGCAGGAGAAUACCCGGCUGUUCUGACGGUACCCAAAGAAGAAGCACCGGCUAACUUCGUG